AUGAGCAGCGGGGGCAGCCGCCGGGACCAUCCCCCUAUCGGGGUGACCCUUACAGACGGCCCUUGGCGCCAGCCCCUCACCCCCACCUGGGAGGACUCCGUCCCAGCUCGGGUGGCUUGGAGCUGGGGGCUGCAGGGCGGGGGCUGUCCCGUGGGGCCGUUCCUCUCCGUCUCCCCCUGCUUCAGUGUCCUGCACGCUCAGAGCCCCUUCUCCGCCCCACUCUCCUCGCCACCCAGGCCUCCAGGGGCUCUGGUCGCCCUGCUCCCUCCAGCUGUAAGCAUCCUGGAGCCCUGGCUGAGCGCCACCCGGCUGUCCGCAGGGUCUCCGUCCUGCCCAGCCCCGGCUCUGCCCCCCACGCCCUUCCAGGCCCCUGGCCUCCCCCGACCUCCCUGCUCUGGGCCAGACGGGGCGGCCAGGCCUCACCUGUGGGCCUUGGGGAGGUGGGACCUGCCCAGGCUCCAGGUCCAAAGAGCUGCGUGUCUGUGCUUUGCUGGGUCAAUGGCCAGCGCUUGGCUCCGAAUCUCAGGGGUCCCGGAGGCAAGCCCUGCGCCUGGGGCACAGGUGCGGGUGCAGCUAAGGGGUGGCACCUGCGUGUGGAGGAGGCCGGGCAGUUCCAGGAGCUGGAGAUCCCGGGCACACUCACCGCACGUCAGCCCGCUGUGGCAGAGCCGCCGCUCACACUCGUGGGCACUCUUCUCACACCCCCCAGAACCUGUGUUUCUCUCUCUCUCUCUCACACACACACACACACGUCAGCAGCUUGGCCACGUGACCACAUACAGGUCACGGGGGCUCUGCAGACCCUGGAGCCCUGGAGACACAUGUGCAAAGGCACUUGGGCCACUGGAUGCGCCACCGGGCGGUCGCAGUGACGGUGACUCAGGGGCGCCGACUCUUGGGGGUAAGCCGCUCUGCUCACACACGUGCACACACAUGGGCAGGCACAGGCGGCACAGACACACGCGUGCACACAGACACGGCCAGAGGUCCACAGGCCGAGGCGAGCCUCAGCGCUGGGGUCUGCCCAGAGACCCUCCUCCCGGCCCGGCCCCGCGCCUCAGCCCCCUCCCCACUUCCUAG
RNAcentral lists this long non-coding RNA (1080 nucleotides) under Sus scrofa (pig). RNAcentral describes it as "lncRNA (ENSSSCG00070003581.1)". Lineage: Eukaryota; Metazoa; Chordata; Mammalia; Artiodactyla; Suidae. The record is from RNAcentral.